CACAAAGAUGACGACCGGCGCACGGGUGCGCACCGCGUAUGGAACCUACCUUCUACAGGGGAAUAGCCCAGGGAAACUUGGAUUAAUGCCCCGUGGUACCGGCCAACAGCAUUGUUUACCGGUUAAAGCCUUCGGGCGGUAGAAGAUGGCCAUGCGUCCCAUUAGCUCGAUGGUAGGGUAACGGCCUACCAUGGCCACGAUGGGUAGGGGCCCUGAGAGGGGGAUCCCCCACACUGGUACUGAGACACGGACCAG
This 255-nucleotide ribosomal RNA is filed under the name uncultured bacterium. Its description in RNAcentral is "partial 16S ribosomal RNA". It matches the Rfam family "Bacterial small subunit ribosomal RNA", at positions 81 to 334 of the family's 1533-position model. The record is from RNAcentral.